CCAUACUCCCUAACGGAGAGCUAUCGGCAACGGUAGAGCAGCGUGACAGAAAAUAACCGCCGGGUAUCCCGGCAAGGGUGAAAAGGUGAGGUAAGAGCUCACCGGACGCCAUGGCGACAUGGUGUGCCGCACGUCUUAUGGGUUGCAAGGUCAAGUAUACCGGCAUUUAAGGAUUGCUCGUCCAUUGCCGGGGGGUAGACCGCUAAAGCCAUCCGGCAACGUAUGGCUCAGAUAAAUGACGGAUGCCGGCAUUCAACUCCGCUUCGGCGGAAAAUGAUGCAGGUACAUAACCCGGCUUAUAGUCCGGCCCGAUUU
Molecule: RNase P RNA, 315 nt
Filed under: Muribaculaceae bacterium
Lineage: Bacteria; Pseudomonadati; Bacteroidota; Bacteroidia; Bacteroidales; Muribaculaceae
Description: partial RNase P RNA component class A
Rfam family: Bacterial RNase P class A
About the family: Ribonuclease P (RNase P) is a ubiquitous endoribonuclease, found in archaea, bacteria and eukarya as well as chloroplasts and mitochondria.
Source: RNAcentral